RNAcentral lists this transfer RNA (75 nucleotides) under Candidatus Eiseniibacteriota bacterium. Its description in RNAcentral is "tRNA-Pro". It matches the Rfam family "tRNA". Rfam says of the family: Transfer RNA (tRNA) molecules are approximately 80 nucleotides in length. The record is from RNAcentral. Lineage: Bacteria; Candidatus Eiseniibacteriota.
CGGGGUGUAGCGCAGCCCGGUUAGCGCACCUGCUUUGGGAGCAGGAUGUCGGAGGUUCAAAUCCUCUCACCCCGA